AGAGUUUGAUCCUGGCUCAGAACGAACGCUGGCGGCAGGCUUAACACAUGCAAGUCGAACGCCGUAGCAAUACGGAGUGGCAGACGGGUGAGUAACACGUGGGAACAUGCCCUUCGGUUCGGAAUAACUCAGGGAAACUUGAGCUAAUACCGGAUACGUCCAAGGCAACUUGGAGAAAGAUUUAUUGCCGGAGGAUUGGCCCGCGUCUGAUUAGCUAGUUGGUGGGGUAAUGGCCCACCAAGGCGACGAUCAGUAGCUGGUCUGAGAGGAUGAUCAGCCACAUUGGGACUGAGACACGGCCCAAACUCCUACGGGAGGCAGCAGUGGGGAAUAUUGGACAAUGGGCGCAAGCCUGAUCCAGCCAUGCCGCGUGAGUGAUGAAGGCCUUAGGGUUGUAAAGCUCUUUUGCCUGGGGAGAUAAUGACGGUACCAGGAGAAUAAGCCCCGGCUAACUUCGUGCCAGCAGCCGCGGUAAUACGAAGGGGGCUAGCGUUGUUCGGAAUCACUGGGCGUAAAGCGCACGUAGGCGGAUUCUUAAGUCAGGGGUGAAAUCCCGAGGCUCAACCUCGGAACCGCCUUUGAUACUGGGGAUCUCGAGUCCGGGAGAGGUGAGUGGAAUUGCGAGUGUAGAGGUGAAAUUCGUAGAUAUUCGCAAGAACACCAGUGGCGAAGGCGGCUCACUGGCCCGGAACUGACGCUGAGGUGCGAAAGCGUGGGGAGCAAACAGGAUUAGAUACCCCGGUAGUCC
Molecule: ribosomal RNA, 748 nt
Filed under: uncultured bacterium
Lineage: Bacteria
Description: bacterial SSU rRNA
Rfam family: Bacterial small subunit ribosomal RNA
Source: RNAcentral